GCCCCAGUGGCCUAAUGGAUAAAGCACUGGCCUCCUAAGCCAGGGAUUGUGGGUUCGUGUCCCAUCUGGGGUG
Molecule: transfer RNA, 73 nt
Filed under: Albula glossodonta (roundjaw bonefish)
Lineage: Eukaryota; Metazoa; Chordata; Actinopteri; Albuliformes; Albulidae
Rfam family: tRNA
About the family: Transfer RNA (tRNA) molecules are approximately 80 nucleotides in length. Their secondary structure includes four short double-helical elements and three loops (D, anti-codon, and T loops). Further hydrogen bonds mediate the characteristic L-shaped molecular structure. tRNAs have two regions of fundamental functional importance: the anti-codon, which is responsible for specific mRNA codon recognition, and the 3' end, to which the tRNAs corresponding amino acid is attached (by aminoacyl-tRNA synthetases). tRNAs cope with the degeneracy of the genetic code in two manners: having more than one tRNA (with a specific anti-codon) for a particular amino acid; and 'wobble' base-pairing, i.e. permitting non-standard base-pairing at the 3rd anti-codon position.
Source: Rfam by way of RNAcentral